Molecule: ribosomal RNA, 497 nt
Filed under: uncultured bacterium
Lineage: Bacteria
Description: partial 16S ribosomal RNA
Rfam family: Bacterial small subunit ribosomal RNA
Source: RNAcentral
GAUGAACGCUGGCGGCGUGCCUAAUACAUGCAAGUCGAGCGAACAGACGAGGAGCUUGCUCCUCUGACGUUAGCGGCGGACGGGUGAGUAACACGUGGAUAACCUACCUAUAAGACUGGGAUAACUUCGGGAAACCGGAGCUAAUACCGGAUAAUAUAUUGAACCGCAUGGUUCAAUAGUGAAAGACGGUUUUGCUGUCACUUAUAGAUGGAUCCGCGCCGCAUUAGCUAGUUGGUAAGGUAACGGCUUACCAAGGCAACGAUGCGUAGCCGACCUGAGAGAGUGAUCGGCCACACUGGAACUGAGACACGGUCCAGACUCCUACGGGAGGCAGCAGUAGGGAAUCUUCCGCAAUGGGCGAAAGCCUGACGGAGCAACGCCGCGUGAGUGAUGAAGGUCUUCGGAUCGUAAAACUCUGUUAUUAGGGAAGAACAAAUGUGUAAGUAAAUAUGCACGUCUUGACGGUACCUAAUCAGAAAGCCACGGCUAACUACGUG